RNAcentral lists this long non-coding RNA (346 nucleotides) under Gossypium raimondii (Peruvian cotton). RNAcentral describes it as "long non-coding RNA (GRAI_LNC000487)". Lineage: Eukaryota; Viridiplantae; Streptophyta; Magnoliopsida; Malvales; Malvaceae. The record is from RNAcentral.
AACAAUCAAAAUGUAACUUUAAUUCGUUAGGGGAAAGAAAGAAAAAAACAAGAAAAAGAACAAUAGAAAACUGAACCGCAAGAAGCAAAACCAAAACGGGAAUAAAGAAAGUGGGAAACAACACCAAAAAAAAAAGGUGAAUAAUGGGAAUAGAUUUUUGGGGAAUAAAAAAAAUGAAAUGAAAUGAUAAUAACAAACAAAAGAAACCCAAACGUGGCAACAGGCUGGGAAAACAAAGAAAAAAAUUAUAAUAAAUAAGUUUAAAUGUUAAAAGGAAUUCAAACCUACUGCCACCCCCGACUAACCAAAUUUUUAGGAGUUUAACUCCCACUCCAACACCACCAAC